This 461-nucleotide ribosomal RNA is filed under the name uncultured bacterium. Its description in RNAcentral is "bacterial SSU rRNA". It matches the Rfam family "Bacterial small subunit ribosomal RNA", at positions 49 to 507 of the family's 1533-position model. The record is from RNAcentral.
UAACACAUGCAAGCCGAGCGGUAGAGAUUCUUCGGAAUCUUGAGAGCGGCGUACGGGUGCGGAACACGUGUGCAACCUACCUUUAUCUGGAGGAUAGGCCUUUCGAAAGGGAAGAUUAAUACUCCAUAAUAUAUUUGAUGGCAUCAUUAAAUAUUGAAAGGCUCCGGCGGAUAGAGGAUGGGCACGCGCAAGAUUAGCUAGUUGGUGAGGUAACGGCUCACCAAGGCAAUGAUCUUUAGGGGGCCUGAGAGGGUGAUCCCCCACACUGGUACUGAGACACGGACCAGACUCCUACGGGAGGCAGCAGUGAGGAAUAUUGGUCAAUGGGUGCAAGCCUGAACCAGCCAUCCCGCGUGAAGGACGACUGCCUAUGGGUUGUAAACUUCUUUUGUAUAGGGAUAAACCUACUCUCGUGAGAGUAGCUGAAGGUACUAUACGAAUAAGCACCGGCUAACUCCGUG